GCCGCUGUGGCCCGGUUGGCAGAGGCGUCGCCAGUACAGAUCGCGAAGAUCGCUGGUUCAAAUCCAGCAUGCGGUG
Phthorimaea operculella (potato tuberworm) is the source of this 76-nucleotide non-coding RNA. The record is from the annotation of a GenBank genome assembly. NCBI's taxonomy places the organism in Eukaryota, Metazoa, Arthropoda, Insecta, Lepidoptera, Gelechiidae.